CUUUUUAGGGCCACAUCUAAAGGCAUAUGGAAGAUCCCAGCCUAGGGGUCCAAUUGGAGUUGUAGCUGCUGGCCUACACCACAGUCACAGCAACUCAGGAUCUGAGCUGCAUCUGUGACCUAAGCCAGAGCUCAGAGCAACACUGGAUUCCCGACCCACUAAGUGGGGCCAGGGAUGGAACCUGCAUCCUCAUGGAUACUAGUCAGAUUCGUUUCUGCUAUGCCACAACGGGAACUCCUCAAACAAUUUUUUAAAGUCACCUAUAAUUCCCGUAUGCUGUAGGAUAAUUUUUGCUUCUUCACGGUCCUUCUCAAUUUUAUCCCCCGUACACACACAGUAGGUACACAAUGUUUUCCUCAUUUUAUUCUUGGUAUAAUACACACUUCAGUCAGCCACUUUUAAAAUUUAACGUGUUUUCAUCAACAUAAUGUAAGUCAUCAGACUUACAUUCUCAGUGGUGGCACCUGUCUCCUAUUUUCUGCAGUUGCCUACUAUUAUAAAUAUGCUCCCAUAAGCACAGUAAAUGUUGAGGAUUUAGAAGUUACCUUUAGGAGCCAGGUGAUUUAGCAGAAUUGGGUUCUUGUUCCUAUAUAUUAGUAUGUUAUAGCAGGUAUGCAGUUCUGCUUUGGGGGCAGAGAGGGGGGUUAAUUUUUUUUUUUUUUAAUUUGAAGACACAAAUGCAGUAAAAACCAUAGAUGAAAAUAAAAAUACACAGGUACCCAGCAUUAAUCAAUGUUCAUCAUAUUUUUUAAAAAAUAGGAAGAUUCCUGCAAAGUCGAAGUCUCUUUUGGACUCUUCUGCAGUCAUAUGGGUGACUCUUAAUGACCGCAAGGAACAAACUUAGUCUCAAAGUAGUUUACAUAAAUGGUGAUAAAGGUCCAAGAGAUGGGUGUGAUCUAUACAUACAGACUUUGAUCUUUAACGGGUAUCUCUUUCUAACAUAAUUGCAACAAUAAUGUAUAAUAAUACACAAUGUAUAAUAACAUAUAAUGUAUAAUGCAUUAUAGUUUGAAAGUGCUUUUGUGGCCUACAUAAUAGAGGGAUGUGAGGUAAGCUUCAGCCAAGGCUGCCCCUCUUGCCAGUGGAUCUAGAGUGGUGAAAAAGCAAUAGCGGCUAGGGCGGCCUCUUAUAGGAACUACACAUAAAGCAGAGUUUUGGGUUAAGGGAUCUUUUUACCAGGUUACACUACUUCAAGCUCUCUCCCUAUUAAAAUGUGACCAGGACAAAUCCCUUCUCCUUGGAUCAAUUUGACUCAGAUGGCUCAAGGAGAGAUGGCUGCAGACAGGUUGAAGCUGAAAGCUCCAGCAAAUAUUUUAACAACAGAAAACACUCUUAGGGGCUAUCAAGAGAGCAGUGCAGGGCUCAGAGCAUCUCCUCACAGUAAAGACAGAAGCACGCUCCAAUGCGCAAACAUAUUUGGAAGUGCAGAACUGCAUGGAACUUUUAAAGCAACAAGAGGGGCUGCAUACCAAGACCACAGUACUGGGCUUCUCCAAGUGUUUCUUUUCAGGAAUCCUGGGGCAUGCUGCUGGAUCACAGGCCGCAGGAUACUGGCAAACUAUAGGAAAAGAGUGGAGAAGAAAAUGCAGAGCAGAAAACAAAAAUGGAAGUCUUUGAAAGGAAGAAAGGAAGGUAUUUUGAGGAUUAAUGUCAAAGAGAUGUAUAUAUAAUGCAUACAGACUCCAGUUUCAGCUUAUUUAGAAGAAAUCAUCGUUUAUGUCUACUCUGUAGAAGUACAGCUUCGAGCAUAUUUUAACACUUGAACAUAUGCGAGAGAAGCAGGAAAAAGAGUCACAAAAGAAAGCACAGGAUUUAUGGGACUGAAUCUGAGCAGCAGCUGCAACCUAUACCACAGCUGUGGCAAUGCUGGAUUCUUUAACCCACCGUGCCAGGCCAGGGAUCAAACCUGUGCCUCAAUAGCGACCUGAGCUGCUCUAGUCAGAAUCUUAACCCACUGUGCUAAAGCAGGAACUCUUCUAUAUAUACAUUUUUUAAAUGGCAACUUACGAGUAAACUGAUCAUUAAGAAAAAAAUAAAUAAAAGAAUUAGGGCAGACCAGCAAUGUCAAUAAAGUCUCAAAUUUAUUUCAUUUUCACAAAAUAACUGUUGGCUAGAACCAACAUGGAGGUUCUAAUUAGCAUCAGUAUUAUUCCUUGUGAGAAGCCUUCUCUUAGCCACCCCCAGCCCCAGCUGACUACUUCCCCUCUAGGACUUCAGAGCGUUUUUCAUUUUGAGUCUUUUUUGGCAUUACUCACAAUCAUGACAGGUUGCACUGUGGGCUUCAUCUUUCCUUCCAAGUAGUCAUUGAAGGCCUAGGAUAAGAACUGUGUUGACUCACCUUUAUAUCUCUGACCUCCAAUGCAGGAUUCGGCCAGUGCAUGUACUCUCUACAUGCUUGUCAAAACUGAGCCACUGUCUGUCACAGACAGACCAUUGGUCUUAUGGAAGCAAACUCUUCCUACUUUCCAGUCCAGCUUUCCCAGCUUGGUUCUCUUCUUCAGGCAGAGAAUCAACAUCUAUCAAGUUAAAUUCAUGGGGCGGCUUUCGUUGGCUUUCUUCCAUGGGGGAGUAAAGCUAAGGCUUUUUCCACAGAUGCUGACAAUAGUUCUUCCUAUAUGCUGUUAAAGGAAACAAACAAACAAACAAACAAACAAUUGGAGACCUAAGACUGAGUGCUGAGUGGAAAACAGGGAACUUGACCCAGACAGAGGUACACGUCUAGGCCCCCCCAGGGAUAAGGUUUAGGGAAGGAGAAAGGAGGUAGAUCUUUUAAAGCAGAAACCUAGGAGUUCUCGUUGUGGCUCAGUGGGUUAAAAACCUGACUAGCAUCCAUGAGGAUGUGGGUUUGAUCCCUGGUCUCGAUCAGUGGGUUAACAAUCUGGCAUUGCGGCAAGCUGUGGUAUAGGUCACAGAUGUGACUCAGAUCUGGUGUUGCCAUGGCUGUGGCAAUAGGCUGGCUGCUACAGCUCCGAUUUGACCCCUAGCCCGGGAACUUUCAUAUGCCACAGGUGUGGCCAAAAAAAUAAAUUAAUUAAUUAAAUUAAGCAAAAACAUUCAAACUUUCUGUCCCAUGCUAGGAAAGCAAAAUGUCUGAGUUAUGUUUGUUGGUUGGUGAUAACUGCAUUUGUCAUUGUGUAAUUGUGGGGCUGGCUGGAGUGGCCUUUUUGGGAUUGUGGUAUGCAUUUGGGCCACUCUUGGAUUACAGUAUGUAGGUAACACAUGACCUGCCCCAUAGGGACUAUGUCAUCCACUGGGGUGUCAACAGUAGGCUUGGUGGACUUCUCAGAGUUUAGCCAUGCACAGAACACCCUAGGGUUUGUGGAUCACCUUCCCAUCUGUACUUCAGUCAAGAAGAUCAAACCCCAGACCUUGUCAUUUAAACUGUGGGUGACUUCACUUUUCGACAGUCUUCCUUCUCUGAGGUAAGGCGAAGAAUGAAAAACCAUUCAAUGCCUACUGCAUGGCAGGUAUGGCAGGAACUGUACUGCACUCAGUGACUUUACAGAGAAUCAAAGAGGUAAUCACCACGUUAUGGAGGUGCCACACAGCUAUAAGGGGUAAAUCCAGGCUUCAAAGCCUAGCCUAACCUGGCUUUAAAACUUGGGUUGAUAGCCCCUGAUGUCCUUCAACAGCAUCAACAAGUCGCAGUGGCUCUCACACUGCCAAUGAAUGCCCUGGACAGCUGGCUAUGACACAGAAAUCCAGAGAUCCACCUUAACCUGGAUGGUUUUUUUUUCCCUAGGUCUUAGAGGUCUCUGGUGUUACUUUUCUAAGUAAAAGACUAGAAAUUUGGACAGUUAAGAGAACUGACCAGCAGCAUUAAAUGCUCUCUGGUUAGAGGAAGGGGAAAAAAAAAAAAACCUAAGUGAAAAUAGUUAGUACUCUCAGAAAGGCUGAGAGUAUUUAGGGUUUAAGAAUCUAACCAUGUCUAAUGUUUUAUUGGUUUGGAUAGUAGAAAAAGCGUUAUGUAAAAACAUAUGAUAUAGGAAAUGCUUUUUAAGAGAAUUCUUAUGAGGUACAAUUCAAAUGAGGUAAUGCAUCUGAAAGUGCUUUAAAAGCAUAAAGUGCUACAUGAACUGUGAGGGAUUAUUUGUACAAAGUAACCUUUUACAGGUGAAACUUAAAACAUUGGUAUUUUUACUUCUCUUCCAAGAACCAGAGUAGUUUUGGGACUUGCUCUUUGCUGAGGAAAAAAACUCAUGCUUAUUUUCUCAGUUUGGCAGGAUCAGGUAGAGAAGAUAAUUAGACUUGAGGAGGAGAAACUCCCUGAGUCUACAAGAGGCUCCACAAUUGUACUCUCAACUGUGGCCAAAAAGGUUGGUUAGCACUUUUUUUUUUUUUUUUUUUUUUUUUUUUUUUGUCUUUUUGUACUUUUAAGACCUCACCAGCAGCAUAUGGAGGUUCCCAGGCUAGGCAUCUAAUCGGAGCUGUGGCUGCCAGCCUAUGCCAGAGCCACAGCAACACCAGAUCCGAGCCUCAUCGUCAACCUACACCACAGCUCAUGGCAACACCAGAUCCUUAACCCACUGAGUGAGGCCAGGGAUGGAACCCGUAACCUCACAGUUCCUAGUUGGAUUCAUUUCUGCUGCGCCAUGAUGGGUUAGCACUUUUUAAAGUAUUUUUAGAAAAAAAUACAUAGUGUGAUAAAGCAGUAAAAUCUCAAUUAAACAUUAAUGGCAAGCCUAGAGACUUUGUACAGUGAAAUGUUUUUUCUCGAAAAAAAAAAAAAAUCAAUUGUUAUUUUGUCCCUCGUAUUCAAUCUGCUUUCAUUUUAGCUCUUUCUGCCUCGCCAACCCACCCCCGA
RNAcentral lists this long non-coding RNA (4804 nucleotides) under Sus scrofa (pig). Its description in RNAcentral is "lncRNA (ENSSSCG00060043361.1)". The record is from RNAcentral. Lineage: Eukaryota; Metazoa; Chordata; Mammalia; Artiodactyla; Suidae.